GAUGAACGCUGGCGGCGUGCCUAAUACAUGCAAGUCGAGCGAACAGACGAGGAGCUUGCUCCUCUGACGUUAGCGGCGGACGGGUGAGUAACACGUGGAUAACCUACCUAUAAGACUGGGAUAACUUGGGAAACCGGAAGCAAAAACGGAAAAAUAUAUGAAACGGCAGGGUUCAUAAGGAAAAGAGGUUUUGGCGGUACCUAUAAGAGGAAUCCGCGCCGCAUUAGCUAGUUGGUAAGGUAACGGCUUACCAAGGCGACGAUGCGUAGCCGACCUGAGAGGGUGAUCGGCCACACUGGAACUGAGACACGGUCCAGACUCCUACGGGAGGCAGCAGUAGGGAAUCUUCCGCAAUGGGCGAAAGCCUGACGGAGCAACGCCGCGUGAGUGAUGAAGGUCUUCGGAUCGUAAAACUCUGUUAUUAGGGAAGAACAAAUGUGUAAGUAACUAUGCACGUCUUGACGGUACCUAAUCAGAAAGCCACGGCUAACUACGUG
RNAcentral lists this ribosomal RNA (497 nucleotides) under uncultured bacterium. Its description in RNAcentral is "partial 16S ribosomal RNA". It matches the Rfam family "Bacterial small subunit ribosomal RNA", at positions 28 to 507 of the family's 1533-position model. The record is from RNAcentral.